This 229-nucleotide long non-coding RNA is filed under the name Elaeis guineensis (African oil palm). RNAcentral describes it as "long non-coding RNA (EGUI_LNC039831)". Lineage: Eukaryota; Viridiplantae; Streptophyta; Magnoliopsida; Arecales; Arecaceae. The record is from RNAcentral.
GUUGCUAGAGUGAUGGAAUGUAAGCCUUUGACCGAGUUUGAGUGGGACUAUGAAGUCCUCGCUUGGAAUUGCUUAGCUAAGGACACCUCCUUCCUUAAGUAAGGUGGUGAGAGAUGAAGGCCAGGCAUUAUCUAGAUGUUGUAGUCAACGAAGACUUUUGGGUGUUGUAGUUGAUGGAAACAUGACCAAACUCAAACAGCUCUUGGAUAAGGGCAAAGUGUUGAUUGAG